This 106-nucleotide small RNA is filed under the name Flavobacterium xinjiangense. RNAcentral's name for it is "Flavo-1 RNA". It matches the Rfam family "Flavo-1 RNA". Lineage: Bacteria; Pseudomonadati; Bacteroidota; Flavobacteriia; Flavobacteriales; Flavobacteriaceae. The record is from RNAcentral.
CUUUAGCCCCGAUUGCAGCGGUAUACUUUUUUUAUUUUACCCUGUCAGGGUUUUGAACCCUGACAGGGUAAAAUAAAAAAAGAUAUAGCGGAAAGCGGGAAGAUUG